GGACCCGCACAAGUAGUGGAGCAUGUGGUUUAAUUCGAAGAUACGCGCAGAACCUUACCAACACUUGACAUGUUCGUCGCGACUUUAAGAGAUUAAAGUUUUCGGUUCGGCCGGACGAAACACAGGUGCUGCAUGGCUGUCGUCAGCUCGUGUCGUGAGAUGUUGGGUUAAGUCCCGCAACGAGCGCAACCCUCACUUUUAGUUGCCAUCAUUUAGUUGGGCACUCUGAAAGAACUGCCAGUGAUAAGCUGGAGGAAGGUGGGGAUGACGUCAAGUCCUCAUGGCCCUUACGUGUUGGGCUACACACGUGCUACAAUGGUGACUACAACAGGAAGCAAGACAGCGAUGUUAAGCAAAUCCUUAAAAGUUACCUCAGUUCGGAUUGCACUCUGCAACUCGAGUGCAUGAAGCUGGAAUUACUAGUAAUCG
Molecule: ribosomal RNA, 429 nt
Filed under: uncultured bacterium
Lineage: Bacteria
Description: bacterial SSU rRNA
Rfam family: Bacterial small subunit ribosomal RNA
Source: RNAcentral